This is an RNA transcript of Brassica rapa (field mustard), 875 nucleotides long. It is a transcript of the gene named heat stress transcription factor A-4a, with no coding region annotated. The record is from RefSeq and is a predicted model, not a curated record. Lineage: Eukaryota; Viridiplantae; Streptophyta; Magnoliopsida; Brassicales; Brassicaceae.
AAUAACAAAACAUUGUUUAGUAACGUGGAAAAGGAAAGAGAUAGGCCGACCAAAUACGGGCCGGUGGAUGGGCGGGCCUUAUCUGUUUCGUAUAAAACAAGCCUAGGCGAGUCUUUGUUUCUAGCUUAGGGUUUGGUUUCAGAGGAAGGAAAGAACGAAGGAACGAAGAACAAAUCGAAGAGGUUAGAUGGAUCGUGACAGUAAUGAUGAUGGACGUAUUCCUUUUAGGAGCCUUUCUUGCUACCAAGAGAUUUGUAGGCUUGCUGAUAAGGAUUGUCACUUCUCAUCAAUUCCAAGAUAUCCGCUUUUCGUGAGAGACGUGUAUGAUAUGGUGGAUGAUCCUUCAACUGAUUCAGUUGUCUCGUGGAGUGAUAGUGGCAAGAGCUUCAUCAUUUGGAAGGAAUCUGAGUUCCUAGGAGAUGUUUUUCCUAGGUGCUUUUCCUGCGAUUACAAAGAUAUGACAUCCCUCACCGCCUGGUUUAAUGCCAUGGGAUAUAGUAAAGUUGAAGAAUCUGUGCAUUGGGAAUACACAGGCAAUUAUUUGGUGAGAGGCCAGCCUCCCCACCCUACAGAUACAUUCUCACGUACUCCUGGGGGUAUUAUGAUUUCUCCAGAAGAGGCCAAAAUCAUGGAGAGGUUCUUUGCUUCUACGAAGGCUCGCAAACAAUAAGCUCUGUCUGUUUCGGUGGAGUUGCUUUGCUCUCGUGGUUGUUGUUGUUUUCUUAAUCUUAUUUUAUCGUCCUGUUUGAAAACAUUAUGUUCGGUCUCUCUCUCUUUUCUUUUCUUAAAUUAUGGUUUGUAAGAUAAGAUGGUUGAUGUUUUUUUUUUUUUUUUUUGCAUUUUAAUAAGAUAGAUCAUUAUGAUCUUUUGGUUCU